UACAGAGGGGGCAAGCGUUGUUCGGAAUUACUGGGCGUAAAGGGCGCGUAGGCGGCCUUCUAAGUCGAACGUGAAAUCCCCGGGCUCAACCCGGGAACUGCGUCCGAGACUGGAAGGCUUGAAUCCGGGAGAGGGAUGUGGAAUUCCAGGUGUAGCGGUGAAAUGCGUAGAUAUCUGGAGGAACAUCGGUGGCGAAGGCGGCAUCCUGGACCGGUAUUGACGCUGUGGCGCGAAAGCCAGGGGAGCAAACGGG
This 253-nucleotide ribosomal RNA is filed under the name uncultured bacterium. RNAcentral's name for it is "partial 16S ribosomal RNA". It matches the Rfam family "Bacterial small subunit ribosomal RNA", at positions 524 to 776 of the family's 1533-position model. The record is from RNAcentral.